UACGUAGGGGGCGAGCGUUGUUCGGAUUUACUGGGCGUAAAGGGCGCGUAGGCGGCCAGCGCAAGUCAGUUGUGAAAUCUCCGAGCUUAACUCGGAAAGGUCAACUGAUACUGCGCGGCUAGAGUGCGGAAGGGGCAACUGGAAUUCUCGGUGUAGCGGUGAAAUGCGUAGAUAUCGAGAGGAACACCUGCGGCGAAGGCGGGUUGCUGGGCCGACACUGACGCUGAGGCGCGAAAGCCAGGGGAGCGAACGGG
Molecule: ribosomal RNA, 254 nt
Filed under: uncultured bacterium
Lineage: Bacteria
Description: partial 16S ribosomal RNA
Rfam family: Bacterial small subunit ribosomal RNA
Source: RNAcentral